RNAcentral lists this ribosomal RNA (460 nucleotides) under uncultured bacterium. RNAcentral describes it as "partial 16S ribosomal RNA". It matches the Rfam family "Bacterial small subunit ribosomal RNA", at positions 338 to 795 of the family's 1533-position model. The record is from RNAcentral.
CCUACGGGAGGCAGCAGUGAGGAAUAUUGGUCAAUGGACGAGAGUCUGAACCAGCCAAGUAGCGUGAAGGAUGACUGCCCUAUGGGUUGUAAACUUCUUUUAUAUGGGAAUAAAAUGUUCCACGUGUGGGAUUUUGUAUGUACCAUAUUAAUAAGGAUCGGCUCACUCCGUGCCAGCAGCCUCGGUAAUACGGAGGAUCAGAGCGUUAUCCGGAUUUAUUGGGUUUAAAGGGAGCGUAGGUGGUUUGUUAAGUCAGUUGUGAAAGUUUGCGGCUCAACCGUAAAAUUGCAGUUGAAACUGGCAGUCUUGAGUACAGUAGAGGUGGGCGGAAUUCGUGGUGUAGCGGUGAAAUGCUGAGAUAUCACGAAGAACUCCGAUUGCGAAGGCAGUUCACUGGACUGCAACUGACACUGAGGCUCGAAAGUGUGGGUAUCAAACAGGAUUAGAUACCCUAGUAGUC